RNAcentral lists this ribosomal RNA (253 nucleotides) under uncultured bacterium. RNAcentral describes it as "partial 16S ribosomal RNA". It matches the Rfam family "Bacterial small subunit ribosomal RNA", at positions 524 to 776 of the family's 1533-position model. RNAcentral also lists the same sequence under 1 other name. The record is from RNAcentral.
UACGAAGGAUGCGAGCGUUAUCCGGAUUUAUUGGGUUUAAAGGGUGCGUAGGCGGCCUUAUAAGUCAGUGGUGAAAUCCUAUCGCUUAACGAUAGACGUGCCAUUGAUACUGUAGGGCUUGAGUACAGAUGCCGUUGGCGGAAUGUGUCAUGUAGCGGUGAAAUGCAUAGAUAUGACACAGAACACCGAUUGCGAAGGCAGCUGACGAAACUGUAACUGACGCUGAGGCACGAAAGCGUGGGGAUCAAACAGG